RNAcentral lists this long non-coding RNA (232 nucleotides) under Homo sapiens (human). RNAcentral's name for it is "LNC_000734". Lineage: Eukaryota; Metazoa; Chordata; Mammalia; Primates; Hominidae. The record is from RNAcentral.
GGAUGUAGGAGAUGGUGGCCGUCUCGUAGUCCAGGCAGAGGCGGGAGAGCAGCAGGAGCAGGGCAGGUGGUGUGGCACCCCCCUUCUCCCCAGGGCUGUCGCAGAAGCUCUGAGCCGUCUGGCACAUAGAGUGGACGAAGCCCACGAUGAGGCCCUCACGGACACCCUGACUGCAGAACUCACCCCGGAAGUAGGGCUUGUUGGAGAAGGACACCUCUUUGGCGGUGAAAAG